AGUGAACGCUGGCGGUAGGCCUAACACAUGCAAGUCGAACGGCAGCACAGUAAGAGCUUGCUCUUACGGGUGGCGAGUGGCGGACGGGUGAGGAAUACAUCGGAAUCUACUUUUUCGUGGGGGAUAACGUAGGGAAACUUACGCUAAUACCGCAUACGACCUACGGGUGAAAGCAGGGGAUCUUCGGACCUUGCGCGAUUGAAUGAGCCGAUGUCGGAUUAGCUAGUUGGCGGGGUAAAGGCCCACCAAGGCGACGAUCCGUAGCUGGUCUGAGAGGAUGAUCAGCCACACUGGAACUGAGACACGGUCCAGACUCCUACGGGAGGGAGCAGUGGGGUAUAUUGGACAAUGGGCGCAAGCCUGAUCCAGCCAUACCGCGUGGGUGAAGAAGGCCUUCGGGUUGUAAAGCCCUUUUGUUGGGAAAGAAAAGCAGCAGGUUAAUACCCCGCUGUUCUGACGGUACCCAAAGAAUAAGCACCGGCUAACUUCGUG
This 492-nucleotide ribosomal RNA is filed under the name uncultured bacterium. RNAcentral's name for it is "partial 16S ribosomal RNA". It matches the Rfam family "Bacterial small subunit ribosomal RNA", at positions 29 to 507 of the family's 1533-position model. The record is from RNAcentral.